This 234-nucleotide long non-coding RNA is filed under the name Gossypium barbadense (sea-island cotton). Its description in RNAcentral is "long non-coding RNA (GBAR_LNC022287)". The record is from RNAcentral. Lineage: Eukaryota; Viridiplantae; Streptophyta; Magnoliopsida; Malvales; Malvaceae.
GACUUCAAUGAGAAACAAACUUGGAGCAGUCUGCCGAGGAUGUUGCGACACUGGGUGUGUUGUGUCGCAGUACCAAGCUUGAAGUUGUAACUCCCAACCUUCAGGGUCGCGAUACCACUGCUGAUGGUUAAAGUGAAGGAGCCAAGGCCACUAUCGAGUGUGUCGCGACACUAGCUACUUAAUGUCGCAACAUUAAAAACCUCCAUAGCUAAGAUCAUGCCCACUAACACGAAU